Etheostoma cragini (Arkansas darter) is the source of this 207-nucleotide long non-coding RNA. RefSeq lists it as uncharacterized. The transcript has 3 exons. The record is from RefSeq and is a predicted model, not a curated record. Lineage: Eukaryota; Metazoa; Chordata; Actinopteri; Perciformes; Percidae.
UGUAAACCCAGAUUUAGUUGCUAUUAAACUUUUUAGUGUUCACUACUUAAAAACCACAUUCAUUAAAAAAUAACAUUAGUUGUUUGUAAUAAUCAGCUUAAGUAUGCCGUACACAGAUCUUUUUAAGCAGAGAUAACUAAGGAUGUAAAGUUUCUGUAUGGGAGGGGCGGGGUCAUCUGAACUGUUCUGGGCUGAAACAAUUCAAAU